ACAUUAAUGAAAGCAACUGAUGGAAUAGAACUCUUACCAUCGAUGCUCCUCCAUUGCCGAUUUACAUCCUCACCCUUCUUGUCUCUGAUCUGUCCUUUCCCCCUCAAUCUUCCCAGUGUUGAUCUACUUCACUUCACCAUUUUGAGCCCUAAUUUGAGAGAAAAUUCCUAUUUGAAGAGAAAGAAAAAAGGCUCUCUCUCUCUCAAAACCACUCUCAAAUCAUCAACUUCCAUCAUCUCUACAAGGCCCUUCGAUUUCCCUCAAAGCCCCUCUUCGACCCCAAUUUACAACGAUUCGGAUGUGAAGCCGAAGCCUCAGAAACAACUCUUCAAGAAGAACAUGACGGCUGAGGAGAGCACUCCUGAUUUUGGAAUCAGGGAAGAGGAUGAUGGAGAAGAAGGGAUUUUGUGAGGGGAAAGUCGGACUAUGAUGACUUCGGGGAUGGAAAGAGGAAGAAGUUUGAGAAAGAUGGUAUUGGUAGUAGUAGGAAGAUGGACAGACAUUGAGAAACACAUGUUCACUCUCUGCCCUCCUUGCUCUCUACCCUAGCUACUCCAUCUUUAGUGCCACCGUAAAAAAGACACAUGUUCACUCUAUUAUGUUUUUGUUUUUUUCAAACGAGAGUUGGUCCUAGAUUUAUUCAUUUAUUUAUUGUAAGAAACCGAAAUACUCUCAUUUCCUCAAUCCCCUUCAAACUUUCUCUAAUCCUCUCAGAUUUCGAUGUUUAUUCUAUUCAAUUUAAUCGAAACAGAGCUUCAAAAAUCCGAGACCGAAAUGGGAAUUCCAUCGACGAUGAGGGACGCUUGGGCAAACUGAAGAUAUUCGCCUUUGAUUGCUUCACCGGCUGAGGAUCAAAAGAUUCUGAAUUCACGCCGGUACACUCAAGAUCAUGGGUUGCUAUUGAAUGGUGUUUCUGGAAUUUGCAGAGGGUGUUCGAGCAGGAGUGAAGGCAGCUUCCAUUGCUUGUGUUGGCAGUGAUGUGCCUACUGUAUGUGAUCUUUAUCACUACUUUCUGUAUUCACUGUGUAUACAAUUUCUGGAUUUAUUUGGGACAUUUUACUGGUUUAUCAGUACACUUUCAAUGUGGGUAUUUGGCAUUCAUAACUGUUCAAUAACAAGACUGAUCCACAUAAAAACCACCUAAUGGGUAGGUAUCAUUUGAGAUAGAAAACAAUCACUUGCUUUAGGGAGGCUACGCGAGAAUUUUUGUUGAGAGAGACAAAGUUAUACACACAACUUUUUCCUAUUUGACAAUCUCAUAUUCAUUAUCUUAAAUGAAGAAAAUCCCAAAUAUAUGUGGCCAAUAUGGAAAUUCCGGGGGAGCAAGAACAAAAUUUCAUACAGGCAAAUCAAGUGGAAAAGUUGAGGAAAUUGAGCUUCCAGUUGCUCGAGUGGAUAUCAUUAUUUCAGAGUGGAUGGGAUAUUUUUUAUUGUUUGAGAAUAUGUUAAAUACUGUCCUCUAUGCUCGUGAUAAGUGACUUGUAAGUUACACUGCCCCUUUUUCUUUCUGAAUAACCACUUUGAUGCUAUUGCUAAUCUGGAUGUAUUAGUGCAAUGUUUGGUGGUGGAGUUAGUUUGUUUUUCUAUUUUUUUUGGUUUGUUUUGUGUUUUUAUUUUUUUUGUUUUUUAUUUAUUUUAUCAUGGAAGAUGUUAUUGGAGUUUAAUUGGUCUCAUCAGCUUGAAUUUAUUAUAAUUCGUUAGUCUUUAUAUUCUGAAAGUUCAACUCUUUGACUGGAUUAGACGCCUUUUCUGGGAUUUUCAGUGCUUUUGUUUAGAAACUUUAUGGUGGUGGAAGCAAAUUGAUUAAUUUAAUUUUUAUUGGAUUUAUAUGCUCAUAAAAGUUUCUGUUUUCUUAUAAUGGGUUUUUUGGUUAAAGUCAUUUUAUUCUAAGAGGUCUAUCUUGAGUUGGGUUGUAAUUUUUUUAAGUUACAAUUUGAUUCGUUUGUUUAGGAAUUUUGUCUUGUUGGAGUUAAGUCGUAAAUAGAUUCUACAUCAAGUGGGAAAAUUUAUUUUUUACUCUUUUUGUUCUUCUUUAGGGUUUUCUAGCAUCUUCAUAAUGGAUAUUGGAUGUGAAAUGAGAUUUACGCAAGUCCUCAAUUGUUUUGGCCAAUUGUAGUAGAGUUCAAUGUCAGUUUUGUCUUGGUUAAUGACCGACUGUGGAACAAUGGAAUUGGUUUGAUUUGAGUGUGGUUUUUGGAUGAACCGUUGCUGAGCAUGGCUAUUUGUCACUAAAGAUGACAUCAAAGGCUUAUCUUGCUUCCAGAACAUUUUUAAAGAGGUUAUUGUCAGACGACAACAUUCUUUGUGAAAGCAAUUCACCCAUUGAAGCCACUGAUGUUUGACAAAAUGAAUAUCACAAUCAGCAUUUGCCUGAUAAGACGCGAGGUCUUUCAGAGUCAACUCCAGAAAUCUUAACUUGUGAAAGUGAAUUAUCUUAUUCAAGGUAUACCCCCUCCAUGUCUAGUAGGCAGCUUUUUCUAGAUAUGCAGCAGAACCAAUAUCUGGAAAAUAUCAUGUUUGUUUGUAUGGACAUCGAGAUUCAUUCCACUGCUCAAAUUUUUGGGACGUGGAUUGGCUUUCUUCAUCUAGAAAUUCAUGUGAAGAAGAAACUUAUGAAAGAUUCGAGAUUUGAUAUGGACAUGUUUGGUAAUUUGGAGGGCAGGUGGUAGCUCAUUUUGUGUUUUUGUUCAUAUUACCCUACAUGUAUUUUGGUUGUGUUGUAAAUUUUAUAUUUUUGUUGGUAUUACAAGGCAUGUUUGGUAAUUCUCCCUUGAUAUUUUAUUUUUGUUGAUAUUAGUAGAUAUUUGUUGUUGGAUAUAAGAAGAUGUGUUUGGUAAUCCGCAUGCGGUUGAUAUUAUAUUUUUGUGGAUAUUAGUAGACGUUUUUUGUGGAUAGUGCUGAAAUUCGAUUGAGAUGUUUAUAAAAAAUGAACAGA
Molecule: non-coding RNA, 2935 nt
Organism: Camellia sinensis
Lineage: Eukaryota; Viridiplantae; Streptophyta; Magnoliopsida; Ericales; Theaceae
Source: RefSeq, a predicted model, not a curated record